Molecule: ribosomal RNA, 253 nt
Filed under: uncultured bacterium
Lineage: Bacteria
Description: partial 16S ribosomal RNA
Rfam family: Bacterial small subunit ribosomal RNA
Source: RNAcentral
UACAGAGGGGGCAAGCGUUAUUCGGAAUUAUUGGGCGUAAAGGGCGCGUAGGCGGCUGCGCAAGUUCAAGGUGAAAUCCCUCGGCCCAACCGAGGAACUGCCUUGAAUACUGCGCGGCUUGAGGCCGGGAGAGGGUGGUGGAAUUCCCAGUGUAGCGGUGAAAUGCGUAGAUAUUGGGAGGAACACCAGUGGCGAAGGCGACCACCUGGACCGGUUCUGACGCUGAGGCGCGAAAGCGUGGGGAGCAAACAGG